Entelurus aequoreus (snake pipefish) is the source of this 1091-nucleotide RNA transcript. It is a transcript of the gene named RAB41, member RAS oncogene family, with no coding region annotated. NCBI's taxonomy places the organism in Eukaryota, Metazoa, Chordata, Actinopteri, Syngnathiformes, Syngnathidae. The transcript is spliced from 9 exons. The record is from RefSeq and is a predicted model, not a curated record.
AUUCUGAGGUGAUACUUGGUGGAUACUUAUUCUCAACUAAAGCCGCACGGUUGCGCUGUUUCUCUUCCGUACGAUUCAAGAGGAAGAAGAAAAAAGGAAAAGCCGAGGCAGGCUGGUGAGGAAUGAGGACGACCCACUGCUGCUCUCCUCUCUCCCGUCCAGACACACACACCACUUACCCCAGUCGGCCAGCGAGUUAGCUGCUUCCGUUUGUUUUGGACAACAUGUCAAGCACAACCGGCGGCGGGGAGUUUGGCAACCCUCUACGGAAGUUUAAGCUCGUCUUCCUGGGCGAGCAGAGCGUUGGGAAGACCUCGCUCAUCACCAGGUUCAUGUAUGACAGCUUUGACAACACUUACCAGGCAACAAUUGGUAUCGACUUCUUGUCAAAAACCAUGUACCUAGAAGAUCGCACGAUUCGGCUGCAGCUCUGGGACACGGCGGGACAGGAGCGUUUCCGCAGCCUCAUCCCGAGCUACAUCCGAGACUCUGCCGCCGCAGUGGUGGUUUAUGACAUAGCCAAUCUAAACUCCUUCCAACAAACCUCAAAGUGGAUCGAUGACGUGCGAACGGAGCGAGGAAGCGACGUCAUUAUCAUGCUAGUUGGAAACAAAACGGACCUGGCGGAUAAAAGGCAAGUCUCUGUUGAGGCGGCAGAGAGGAAAGCCCGUGAGCUCAAUGUGAUGUACAUAGAGACCAGCGCCAAGGCUGGCUAUAACGUCAAACAGGUUGGUGUCCACCGCCAGGCGGCCAUGUUGUCCUUCAGACUCAAGCAAGCUUUCUCUCUUCUCUAUCUUUUCCUGUCCUCUUUGCAAUGUUUCUCUAUGUCCAUGUCGCCUCCACACGAGCAGACAGAUCACCACGGAGGAGGGCGAGCAGAGAGCUAAGGAACUGAAUGUCAUGUUCAUUGAAACCAGCGCAAAGACUGGCUACAAUGUCAAACAGCUGUUCCGUCGUGUUGCUGCUGCAUUGCCAGGAAUGGACAGCACAGCGGAGAAAAGCAAAGAAGACAUGAUCGACAUCAAGCUGGAGAAGCAGCCGGAGAUGACGGUGACGGAGAGCAGCUGCUCGUGCUAGUACAACACCACUCC